AGCAGGGGAUCGCAAGACCUUGCGCUCUUGGAGCGGCCGAUGCCUGAUUAGCUAGUUGGUGAGGUAAAGGCUUACCAAGGCGACGAUCAGUAGCUGGUCUGAGAGGACGACCAGCCACACUGGGACUGAGACACGGCCCAGACUCCUACGGGAGGCAGCAGUGGGGAAUUUUGGACAAUGGGGGAAACCCUGAUCCAGCCAUGCCGCGUGAGUGAAGAAGGCCUUCGGGUUGUAAAGCUCUUUCAGCCGGAACGAAACGGUCACGGCUAAUACCCGUGACUACUGACGGUACCGGAAGAAGAAGCACCGGCUAACUACGUGCCAGCAGCCGCGGUAAUACGUAGGGUGCAAGCGUUAAUCGGAAUUACUGGGCGUAAAGCGUGCGCAGGCGGUUUUGUAAGUCAGAUGUGAAAUCCCCGGGCUUAACCUGGGAACUGCGUUUGAAACUACAGGGCUAAG
Molecule: ribosomal RNA, 459 nt
Filed under: uncultured beta proteobacterium
Lineage: Bacteria; Pseudomonadati; Pseudomonadota; Betaproteobacteria
Description: bacterial SSU rRNA
Rfam family: Bacterial small subunit ribosomal RNA
Source: RNAcentral